Molecule: ribosomal RNA, 440 nt
Filed under: uncultured bacterium
Lineage: Bacteria
Description: bacterial SSU rRNA
Rfam family: Bacterial small subunit ribosomal RNA
Source: RNAcentral
CCUACGGGAGGCAGCAGUGGGGAAUCUUAGACAAUGGGGGCAACCCUGAUCUAGCCAUGCCGCGUGAGUGAUGAAGGCCUUAGGGUUGUAAAGCUCUUUCAGCUGGGAAGAUAAUGACGGUACCAGCAGAAGAAGCCCCGGCUAACUCCGUGCCAGCAGCCGCGGUAAUACGGAGGGGGCUAGCGUUGUUCGGAAUUACUGGGCGUAAAGCGCACGUAGGCGGACUGGAAAGUCAGAGGUGAAAUCCCAGGGCUCAACCUUGGAACUGCCUUUGAAACUAUCAGUCUGGAGUUCGAGAGAGGUGAGUGGAAUUCCGAGUGUAGAGGUGAAAUUCGUAGAUAUUCGGAGGAACACCAGUGGCGAGGGCGGCUCACUGGCUCGAUACUGACGCUGAGGUGCGAAAGCGUGGGGAGCAAACAGGAUUAGAUACCCUAGUAGUC